Long non-coding RNA from Podarcis muralis (Common wall lizard), 1144 nucleotides. Lineage: Eukaryota; Metazoa; Chordata; Lepidosauria; Squamata; Lacertidae. The record is from Ensembl.
AUGGCCGACGAAGAGCGGGCUGAACACGGCGGCAGCAGCCGGGGAGGAAAGCUCAGCCUCAAGCGCAAGAGGCGGCAGCCGCACCAGCAGCAGGAGGAGGAAGAAGAGGCGGAACGACGCCCCUCGGCCAUUCCUCGCCGAGCACCUACAUUUUCCAGCAGCUCUUGCUGGUUUGAAGAGCAAGGCUUAAGCGGUGCUGAAAUCGCGUGGAUGACAUUACUCAAGUCUGUGGAGCCACACCUGCAUCGCUUGAGUUUAGAAAAAGUAGUCAACCUUCCCAAGUUUCUUACAAAGAGCUCACAAACUACAAAUCCUCAGCCAGCCCCAGAAACAUUUGACAUUGGAAUGAAACAGUUUCAGUGGACUCCAUUUCCACGUCACCACACAAAUAAUUCAAGAAGUAAAAAGCCUCCUGAAAAUCAAGCUCUUAGUUUGAUAGAAAGAGGAAAUGAUGCAGAUGGGAGACUCAGUAUUAUUUCUCCUGUUCCCAAGCAAAACCCCAUUCCAGCUGGUAAAUAUACUGCUGAGGAAACAACAACUGGACACAACAAUCAUCUUUCCUCUAAGCUGGAAGGUAGAGAAAUGAUUGAAAUGUGCCUGCACUCAACCCAGCAGAAUUCACCAGGACAUUCAUCAAUAGCUGCACAGAGCCAGCCAAGAGUAUUUGUGUUUGAAAAGCUUUGGAAAGGGGGUACAACACAGAGUGAAGGAAAAAGCAGAAAGGAAAAUAAAAUACUAUCAAAUGAUGAUAAGCAAAGUGCUUUGUUGUGCCAGCCUAACAAUGCCACAUCAGUGUUACCUGUGCAGGAAUCUCCUGCUCUUUGUUUGAGUGUCGGCAACCAAGAAAAAACAGAGGACCACAGGGAGGAAAUAUUAGCUCUCAGCCAGUGUCCCAUGUGUCAGAUCCACUUUACUGGAAAGUAAGUAUUGGUUAUGUUACUCAAAUUCAUUUUUCAGUUCUUCAUGACAUCCACAACACACACACAUUGAAGUGACCACAUCCAGUGUUUCUCAAAUUUGGGGUCUCCAGGUGUUGUUGGAUUGCAACUCCCAUUGUCCUUAGGUAGCUAGCAAGACUAGUGGUGAGGGAUGAUGGGAACUGCAGUUCAACAACAGCUGGAGACCCCAAGUUUGAGAAACACUG